This 253-nucleotide ribosomal RNA is filed under the name uncultured bacterium. Its description in RNAcentral is "partial 16S ribosomal RNA". It matches the Rfam family "Bacterial small subunit ribosomal RNA", at positions 524 to 776 of the family's 1533-position model. The record is from RNAcentral.
UACGGAGGGUGCGAGCGUUGUCCGGAAUCACUGGGCGUAAAGGGCGCGUAGGCGGCUUGGGAAGUCUGUGGUGAAAGCUCGUGGCUCAACUGCGAGUCGGCCAUAGAUACUCCUAAGCUCGAGUCGACUAGAGGCAGAUGGAAUUCCGGGUGUAGCGGUGGAAUGCGUAGAGAUCCGGAAGAACACCGGUGGCGAAGGCGGUCUGCUGGGGUCGAACUGACGCUGAGACGCGAAAGCGUGGGGAGCGAACAGG